AGUCUGACGCGAGCACGCCGCGUGAGUGAUGAAGGCCUUCGGGUCGUAAAGCUCUGUUGUUAGGGAAGAACAAGUACCAGAGUAACUGCUCGUACCUUGACGGUACCUAACCAGAAAGCCACGGCUAACUACGUGCCAGCAGCCGCGGUAAUACGUAGGUGGCAAGCGUUGUCCGGAAUUAUUGGGCGUAAAGCGCGCGCAGGCGGUUUCUUAAGUCUGAUGUGAAAGCCCACGGCUCAACCGUGGAGGGUCAUUGGAAACUGGGGAACUUGAGUGCAGAAAAAGAAAGCGGAAUUCCACGUGUAGCGGUGAAAUGCCUAGAGAUGUGGAGGAACACCAGUGGCGAAGGCGGCUUUUUGGUCUGUAACUGACGCUGAGGCGCGAAAGCGUGGGGAGCAAACAGGAUUAGAUACCCUGGUAGUCCACGCCGUAAACGAU
RNAcentral lists this ribosomal RNA (438 nucleotides) under uncultured bacterium. RNAcentral's name for it is "bacterial SSU rRNA". It matches the Rfam family "Bacterial small subunit ribosomal RNA", at positions 380 to 810 of the family's 1533-position model. The record is from RNAcentral.